AAGCCGACCUGGAAUAUUAAGACCCUGUCUCACAAAAAACAAAAAUAAAUAAAUGAAACUGAGGUAGGGCCUCUCUAAAUUGCUCAUGCUAGACUCAGACUGGUGAACCUCCUGCCUCAGCCACGAGUCACUGGGAUCACAGGCGUAUGCUACCCCGCCUGGCCUGCGGUGCCUUCGUGAGGCCUUCGUUUCCUCAACUCCCCGAUGAGCCUCCCCUGGCUGGGCACCGCCAUUUUACAAGGCUGCUCCUGUCACUCCAGCCAGGGUGAAGCCUGCCCGUGCCAAGGGUGACAAGAGUGGACGCUGCCUCCCUGGCCCGGUCCAGCUCCCAGCGGUAGGCAGUGGCCUUUCCAACCAGAGGGUAACAGCUGCCCUGAGAUGACUCCCUGGCCAGAGCCGAGGAUGCGCCCCAGACCCCCAGCCUCACAGGCGCCUUCACUGAGGAUGGACGGCAGCCACCCCUUCCCAGCCCGCCCCUCAGCUGCUGUGCCUGUUGCUGGAGGAAGUGCUCAAGGGCUGCCUGUGCUGUGGUUCCCGCUGAACCAUUAGUGCCUACAAUACCAUGUACAGUACACGUUCAAGUUGGAACUGGAACCCAGAGCCCCAGGUGUGCUGUGCAGUGCUCUCCUGCGAGCCCCACCCUGCCUACCUGACACCUGCAGGUGCUGCUUUACUUGAGCCUGCCCAGCAGGACGGAAGCUCUCCAAGGACAAACUUUGCUUUCUUGCUAACCAUUUUAUUCUUAGUGCCUGGAAUAGUUACUAUAUAAUCCACGCUUCAUAAAUACUCAAAAGAAUGAACAGAAAAAAUGAUGAUGAGCCAGGUCUGGUGGUAUGGGGCUGAGGUGGGAGAUUAUAAAAUUCCAGCACAGCCGGGGGAACUUAAUGAGAUCUUCUUAAAUAAGAAUUUUAAAAAGGGCUGGGGAUACAGCUCAGUGGUAGAGCCAUCG
Fukomys damarensis (Damara mole-rat) is the source of this 949-nucleotide long non-coding RNA. RefSeq lists it as uncharacterized. The transcript has 3 exons. Lineage: Eukaryota; Metazoa; Chordata; Mammalia; Rodentia; Bathyergidae. The record is from RefSeq and is a predicted model, not a curated record.